UGGGAUCAUGACCUGAGCGAAGGCAGACGUUUAACUAAUUGAGCCACCCAGGUGCCCCUUGUAAGGGAGCUGAGCCACCAGCAGUGAUGAUGGAGGCUGAGGAAGGAGUUCAGAGGACACAAGAGGGAAUACUUUCCAGCCUUGAGAAACUACCACAAAAAGGGCAGAUACAGCUUCUACACACUUUUUUCCAGCAAAUAGCCCCAAUUUCUUUUUAACUGGAAUCAUGGAAAAUCUCAGAAAGUAAAGCAUGUGGAUUUCAACUCCUGUAUUUAACUUCACUCUGGCAAUGUUAAUUCUGCAUUUUAUUUCACAGCAAAGAAGGACCAAUGAAUAAUAUUGAUAAUGCUAUUGAUUAUAAAAAUUUUAUUCUAUUUUA
Canis lupus familiaris (dog) is the source of this 379-nucleotide long non-coding RNA. RefSeq lists it as uncharacterized. The transcript is spliced from 2 exons. The record is from RefSeq and is a predicted model, not a curated record. Lineage: Eukaryota; Metazoa; Chordata; Mammalia; Carnivora; Canidae.